UUCUGAUGGUGGUGAUCCAGGCACUAUUCAGAGGUUUUUGAUGUGUACUACAUUGAAACAUAUACUCAGCUCUCGGGCAACCAUGAAAAAUGCUUGCCUGAUGAUUGUGAUUUGUAGCCUUUUACGUGAUGUUGUGGUGACACUUGUGUUAAGUGUGUGAAUGAGAUAUCAUUGUACCAAGGACACAGAUGGGAUCUCGUUUAUAGAUGCAGAUAGUUGUUAAGAAAUUGAAGCUUUGAAGUUGAUAUUUUGUUUAAUCAAUGCAAAUGCUGCUUUAAUCGAACUGUGUCAUAAUAUGAUUAUUAUUUCUUUGAUACCUAAUGAUAAAAUAUGACAUUUCUGCAGUGGAAUAACAGCAGUGAAAAUAAACACAUUUUCAGUACUACUUUUUCUAUUUUUAGAUUAUCAUAUCAAGAUUUACUUUAUGCAUUAAGCUUUGUUUGCUCAGAGCGAGUCACAUGUUGUUUCCUGUUUUGAGGCACGCCACGGAAGAAAGGGUAUCUUCAGCAAAAGGGAAACAGCUGUUAAUUAUUUUCUUGAAAAAGUGGCAUAAAAAAAACAGAAAAUGAGUUCAUGUAUAUUUUCUAUGAUCACUCAUGAAAUAACAAAUGAUCUUACACUGACAUGAACAAAUAUCCUCUAUAUACUGGUAUCUGAAUUAGAGCGGCGCACUGGGAAAACCUGACUUAUAUUUGUGCGUAAAGCUUGUGUGAUAAGAAUGCUUUGUAAAAAAUGCUUGAGUCAUUAGUAAUAAAUGCUUUCAUUGUUACCCAUUAUUCAAGUUUACAAGAUGGUGAAGUCAUUAAUAUAUUGAUUGAUAAGUCUUACUACAUUUAGUUACUAUUUCUUUACUUAUUACAGUUCUUUCAUAGUAUUUUUUCUUUGAAGUUUAAUUAUUUUUUCGCAGAUUAACAGAAGGAUUUCAAGUAAACUAUUGUGAUUAACGUAUGUCCAGCGUCGUGCUUCAUCAACUUUUAGCAUGUUACAACUCUAGAGUAAACAUUUGUAUCCAGUCUUAAUGAAAUUUGUGAGAAUGUUUAUCUGGACGAUAUGAAGUCAGAGUUCGAUUCUCUGUUAAGUGUGUCUAAACAGGUCACCAGGUCAAUUCUUCUGAAAAAAUGUUGCCACUCUAGAUGCCACAUUUAUUAAUUGAUCUUGAUGAAACUUGGUCAGAAUUUUAAUCUUGACAAUAUAUCAGCCGAGUUCCAAUUUGGGUCAUAUGCAUGAAAACAAAACACUAGGUCACCAGGUCAAAUCUUUGAAAAAACACUUGUUACCUCUCUUGAGGCUACAUCAUAAUGUUUAUCUGGAUAUUUUCCGGAGUAGGUUUGAUUCUAGGUCAUGCUCAUCCAAACACUAGGUCACAAGGUCAAAGCAUGAAAAAACACCUUGUUACCACUCUAGAGGCCGAUUUUAUAAUCAAUAUUGAUAAAACUUGGUCAGAAUGUUUGUCCUGACAAUAUGAAAGUCCUGUUUGAAUCUGGGCCAACUGGGUCAAAAACUGAAUCAUCAGGUUAAGUCUUCAACAAUUGGUGUUUGUGAACUAAGGUGAGCACUGAAGGGAUGUCAUGGCCCUCCUAAUUGGUGUUUGUGAACUAAAUUGAGCACUAAAGGGAUGUCAUGGCCUUCCUAAUUGGUGUUUGUGAACUAAGGUGAGCACUGAAGGGAUGUCAUGACCCUCUUAAUUGGUGUUUGUGAACUAAGGUGAGCACUUAAGGGAUGUCAUGGCCCUCUUGUUUAAAUUUCUGGAUUGAAGAAUUUUUGUUUUGUAUAGUCAAAGAGCAGUGAGCAAGCUUAUCUUCUUUAGAAAAAAAAUCUAAAUGAAUUUUAAUGUUUAUUUAUUGAUACCAUCUGAAAACUUAACAGUAUAUAUGAUACUGAUUUUGUGAAAUCACUGUUUUUGAUAUGAUAUAGAUGGUCACUAUUUCAACUAGCAUGUUUGUUGACAUUGCUUUGUGUCCAUUACUCUUGUGCUUUGUUACAUUUUAUUUGAAAUUUUAUUACAUAAUCUACCACAACAUUAUACUUGUUCGAGACUGUUAUCGAAUAUUUUAACCAAUUUUAAGUUUUAUACCUUUAUUUUGAAGUGUUUAUUUUGGUUUUAUGUUUGUUUUAUCGUACUGAUUCAAGUUAGUUUUCUAAAUGUCCUACCUUUUUGAUUGUAAAGUAAAUAUUUUUGUAAGCAAAUGUUCAAAAGAAAAUUAAAAAGAAACAUGUCCAACAAAAUAUUUCAUAAAACUACCAAAACAUAUUUUUUUACAGAUUGGCAUACAUGCAUUUUAUUCAGCAAUUGUAUAAAUGAUAUAUUGGCUUUUUGUUAUCAUAUUUGUAAAAUCUGUAUUUAUCAAGUGCUUUCCCACAUAAAAGACCCAUUGAAAUAUUGUACAAAAUAAUUCUUGCUUACGGUAUUGGGUUUUUGAGAGUUUUGUUCAUUCAUGUCAUAUUGUACAAGAUUCAUUUUAGAUGCAUUUGAAUUCUCAAUUUGUAUAGUGUUUUUACAAAUUCUGUUAACAUGUAUACACAUACAUACAUGUGUAUGUAUUGUUUUAUUGAUAAAUAAAAUUACUCAAUGUU
Long non-coding RNA from Dreissena polymorpha, 2574 nucleotides. RefSeq lists it as uncharacterized. The transcript is spliced from 2 exons. Lineage: Eukaryota; Metazoa; Mollusca; Bivalvia; Myida; Dreissenidae. The record is from RefSeq and is a predicted model, not a curated record.